CCGGGACACUUUACAAUGAAAAAAACAGGAUAUAGAUAAACAAUGGUCUAAUUUCCGCCCACUGGAGUAAUUCUCCCAGAUGGAAUCGACGUAUUCAGUGGAGAACACUAGAAAAGACAACCACGGAAAUUUGCAUCACUCAGAAAGUUAGAGAAGGCGCCGAGCAACACAGAUUACCAAUGAAUCAAUCGACGGUUCUAGUUGGCCUGCUUGUGCUAUUUGCCGCGAUUUGUGGAUCAAAAGCUUUUACGGCAGGCAUCGGAAAUAUGGGAAUGAAAGGAAAGCGAGAUCUUGCUGUGAAGACUCGAAGAGAACUUCAACUGUUGUGCCAUUACGUACGAGGUACUUUGACUUCUAAAAGGUCUGGAGAGAGAACACAUCAGACGCCAUUUUACGUGCGGGAGAUUUGUGGGCUAUGACGUGAAAAGCAAUUGUUACGGCAGUGGGAGACCGGACAAUUUGGGCCAAUAUGAAUCGAAAUGUUUUGUCAGCUACCUUGUGUAAAAUAAUUACAAUAAAAAUCCGCUAACUUA
Orbicella faveolata is the source of this 533-nucleotide long non-coding RNA. Lineage: Eukaryota; Metazoa; Cnidaria; Anthozoa; Scleractinia; Merulinidae. The record is from RefSeq and is a predicted model, not a curated record.